AUGUCUACCUGCAGCGAUGAAAGUUGCGAUAAGGAAUGCCCUUUGUGCAUGGAGACCCUUGAACUGGAUGACAUCAACUUUUAUCCAUGCAAAUGCGAGUACCAGAUUUGCCGAUUUUGCUGGCAUCGUAUACGAACCGAUGAAAAUGGAUUAUGUCCUGCUUGCCGGCAGCCAUAUCCUGAAGACCCUGUCAAUUUUAAGCCAAUGACAACCGACGAUGUGCGAAAACACAAGGACGAACAACGAUUGAAAAAACAAGCGGAAAAACUGAAAUUAUCGGAUGCACGCCAAUAUCUUUGUAAUUACCGUGUACUCCAAAAGAAUCUUGUCUACGUCGUGGGAUUAUCACCUCGUGUAGCAGAUCCUGAGAUUUUGAAGAAAAAUGAGUAUUUCGGUCGGUACGGUAAAAUUCAGAAGAUCGUAACGAGUGCGACACCGUCAUUACCUGCACCUCAUCUUCCACCUAGUCAUACGGCUUACGUAACGUAUAAAAGAGUUGAUGACGCGCUAAGAGCAAUUCAAGUGAGUUUCUUUUAAAAAAUUAUAUUAAAACCACCUUUUGAGUUGCAUAAAAACACAAUUUCUGCAUAAACUUGAAUUCCCAUUGUUAACAUUUUAUUUUCAGGGCGUACAUAACUCAAUGUUGGAUGGUAGGUUAGUGAAAGCAUCACUUGGAACAACCAAGUAUUGUUCUUCAUUUUUGAAUAGUCGGAAGUGUUUCAAACCGGUCGGUGAAUGUAUGUAUUUGCAUGAAAACGCUGAAGCUGAAAUAAGUUUCACAAAAGAUGAUAUGCAUCUUGGAAAGCACACAGAAUACGAGAAACGAUUAAUUGAAUCGAUGAAUAGCCGACCUCCGCCGCCACAAUCGACACUUGCAUCACAAUUGGAUAAAAUACUGGCGCCAACGUCAAAUUCACCACGGCGAUAUCUUGAAGAUGAUUCUGACACAGUUGAUGACGUUGAGCGAACAGGCUCAGCGAUACACAUGUGUGCGGAUGAUCCUGAUGAUGAUGAUGCAGAUUCUACGAACACAAGCAAUUCUAUCGACGACCCGGCACCUUCAAAUCCAGCAGAUGAGACAGUUAACAGUAGACGGAGUAAUCAGACAGCCAGAGAGCGACAGUGGUCAGAACGCGACGAAAUUUCAGUGGCGCCCAGCAAUACACCUCCUACAGAUCCUGAAGGAAAUGAAAACGAGUUUGAAGAGGACAUCCAUAGAAACGAUGUUAGUGAUCUUAUGUCAAAAUUAGAUGUAAAUGACGACCGGCUGGCCCGGACAUCAUUCUCAGAAAAUGAUUAUCUUGGGAUUCCGGCACCAGCAAAGCAUCAAGAAGCACCAGCUCCUCUUAUGCAAUGGGAAGCAUUGCUCGGAUUGUCAUCACCUUCUGCACAAUCAACGAUCGUCGAACCUUCGUCACUAUUCCCAACGUUCAAAAUGGAUUCAGGAUUCAAUUCACAAUCGUUAUUCGGAACACACACAUCUAGCACACCGUCGUUCAGAAGAGAGGCUAGUCCUCCACCCGGUCUCGCUAGGUUCAAUUCAGACGAUGAUCUUGGAUUCGAUCCGUUCACCGAAUCAUCAAAGGGAUUGUCAGCGUUGUUACAAGAAGAACAAGAACAGAUUCCACCACACAAUUCAGCAUCAAAUCAUACUUUAGAUGUGUUAAAACAAUUGUUUGGUCAAUUACCCGAGCAGCGACAGUCAACCCAGCAGCAUCCACAACAUCUUCAAUCAUCACAUCAACAGCAUCCAUUACAACAGAAUCAAGAUCAACAUCAUUCGUUCCUUCAUCAGUUACAUGCACAGCAACAGCAUCAACAACAACAGUUUGCAGCAGAUAUGAACAGGCAACAGGACUAUAUGUAUAGUAGACUUAUGUCACAGCAACAACAGCAAUCACAACAGCAGAGACAGUUCGACUCGACGCCUGGAUUUUCACAUCCAUUCGGAAGUAUGCAGCAGCAACAACAGUCUUCACAGCAACAACAACAUCAGUCUCAGUCGUCACAGUCGUCCAGUCUUCUACAAGACUUGUUCAAUCGCCAACAGCAACAACAUCAAGCGCAGCAACAAGCACAACAACAUCAACAACAGCAGAUGUAUGCUGGAAUCAACUCAUACAUGUACAAUGACAUGUUGAUGCCUCGAGUACCAUUUGGAAUGGCACCACCUCCAGGACUCGGAGGUCCAUCUACGAACAGAUCUUCCACGACACAACAAGCACCUCCACACAUGACACAACAAUCACAACAACAACAGCAACAGCAACAGUCAAGUAUGGGAUUGUUCGGAAUGGGAGGCCAUCAAAGUAUGAUGCAGGAUCAUCAAUCACAGCAGCCACAAUCUGCACAAGAUGCAUUCAAAGCUCUUCUUCCAAAUGUAAAUGUUCGGUUUAUGGAUGAUAAUUCGAUGUCUCGUUGGUCGCAUGAGAACAGUCUGCGAUCAUCAGCCGUCCCACCACCACCCGGUUUUUCUUCUGUGAUGAACCGAUAA
Molecule: unclassified non-coding RNA, 2494 nt
Filed under: Caenorhabditis elegans
Lineage: Eukaryota; Metazoa; Nematoda; Chromadorea; Rhabditida; Rhabditidae
Description: Non-coding transcript of protein-coding gene ntl-4
Source: RNAcentral